CCUACGGGAGGCAGCAGUGAGGAAUAUUGGUCAAUGGGCGAUGGCCUGAACCAGCCAAGUAGCGUGAAGGAUGACUGCCCUAUGGGUUGUAAACUUCUUUUAUAAAGGAAUAAAGUCGGGUAUGCAUACCCGUUUGCAUGUACUUUAUGAAUAAGGAUCGGCUAACUCCGUGCCAGCAGCCGCGGUAAUACGGAGGAUCCGAGCGUUAUCCGGAUUUAUUGGGUUUAAAGGGAGCGUAGAUGGAUGUUUAAGUCAGUUGUGAAAGUUUGCGGCUCAACCGUAAAAUUGCAGUUGAUACUGGCAGUCUUGAGUGCAGUAGAGGUGGGCGGAAUUCGUGGUGUAGCGGUGAAAUGCUUAGAUAUCACGAAGAACUCCGAUUGCGAAGGCAGCUCACUGGAGUGUAACUGACGCUGAUGCUCGAAAG
RNAcentral lists this ribosomal RNA (424 nucleotides) under uncultured Raoultella sp. Its description in RNAcentral is "bacterial SSU rRNA". It matches the Rfam family "Bacterial small subunit ribosomal RNA", at positions 338 to 759 of the family's 1533-position model. Lineage: Bacteria; Pseudomonadati; Pseudomonadota; Gammaproteobacteria; Enterobacterales; Enterobacteriaceae. The record is from RNAcentral.